CAUCACUGCAGCACUCCACUCAUGAGAGUCAUCCCAGCAUGUUUCCGUGAUGGCAACUACGUCAUAGCUUUUCUGCAGCACAAUGGCUUCCUCCUGUUUGUUACCUAUGCUACGUGCAUUGGUGUAAAUGCACUUCACCUGGGCUAUUGAUUUCACCCCCAACACUGGCAUGGCUAGACUCAUCUCUGCUAAGCAUGGUCUUAUCACCUUCCCACUUCAGAUCUAGUUUAAAGCCCUCUCAAUCGGCCCUGCCAACUCAGAGGCUGGAAUCUUUUCCCCCACUUUUAGACAGACGAGCCCCAUCUGUCUUCAGCAGGCUUCAUGCCGUAUAAACCACCCAAUGAUCAAAAAAGCCAAAAUUCCACCGAUGGCACCAGUCUUUGAGCCACAUAUUGAUCAUGUGGGUUCUCCUGUCCUUUCGGCAUUCUUCCCCGAAUUGAGGAAAGCAACGCAUGUGCUCCUGUCCUUACAACCAGUCAUCUCAGUGCCCCAAAGUCCUUUUUGAUUUCCCUAGAACUUCUCCCUUCAGCGUUGUCACUGCCAACCUGGACAACAGCAGUGAAUAAUAAUCAGAGUGCUGAAUCAAUUCAGGGAGCUUUCUAGUAAAAUCUUCUACUCAGGCCCCAUGGAGGCAUCGGACUUCUUUGUGGGAUGGGUCCAGUUGGCACACAGGCACCUCAGUUCCCCUCAGAAUGGAGUCACCUACAAAAAAUCCUUUUAUAUGCCCAAGGGGGACAUACCAUUUAAAAUUGAGUAUUUCUUUGAUUUCCUAAUGACAUAGCUGAAGAAAAGUCUGGCCCUGUGCUCCUUGGAGGAAGGAAAUGUUAAAUUAUUUUCAACUGCAGCUUCUCACUGCAACAUUUUGUUUGAUGCAGGUUAAUGGCUAACUGCUAAGAAAGAGGACUUCUCUGUUUCAGUAGUCUAAUGGGAUUUUUGGCAACCUGCUUGUUAGAAGGAUUGUUUUCUUUAAUAAUAUUGCUGUAGGAAUGCAUCUUUAAGUAUCCCACUGUAUUAUUUUGACACAACCUUUAUACCUUUCAAGGUUAUAGUUUCUGGAAUUCUUUUUCUCCUGAUAAAAAGCAACGUUGCUGGGUAUGCUUUUUCUAUCAAACCUUGAUGGAUGAUCAGGAAAAAAAGCUGAUAUGUUCAAUGGCUUGAUAAUUUCAGGGUCAAAACAGAUUUUACUUGUUGAUCUUUCACUUCCUGAUGCAUCUUUUUGACCAAGCAGCUGGUGUAUAAGAUCUAGCUGGCAGCACACAGAACACAUUAGAAAAACAAAGAGAAUGUGAGAUUAAACUGAAAAGAGACAAGAAUAGCAUUUCCUCACUGUUCUGCAUGAAGACAGAAGGUGCUCCGAGAGGAUACAAACUCAGUUUUCAUAUUGGAACUAUGGCCUCUUCCCCCCAUCAGAUUAUUCAAAGAUUGCAAGACCAGGAAGGUUUGGAUGCUGUGAAUGGGGAUGAAGAGAGAAAGUGGGCCCCUCCCUUUCACAGUGGAGCUACAUCCUGGGAACAGCCAUGUCAGCAGGUAAAGGAACUAUGGGAAGAAGUGAAUAGGCUACACAGUAUUAAAGAAAAGGACUCAGUGAUCUUGGUGGUUUACUUCCAACUCAGAAUAUUCUGCGAUUCUUUCAUUCUCUGACAAAGUUGAAGGAGGAGCAACUCUGUGGUCCUUGUGUUGCUUCAGAAAAAUGAUUUGAUUUUCUGGAUGCUGAAUGACUCUACCAAAAAUUCAUGAAUUCUGUGGCAAUUAUUGUUUUCUCUGGAGACUGCUAUGAGAUCAUCAGAAAUGCUGAAUGUUAUGUGUGGAGAUGAGAGCUGCAGGGGACAAAAAAUAACUGAUUUAUUGGAAAACCUAAUAGACGAGUAAUAUGUGGGAGGAGAAGAGAGAAAGGAGAUGAAGACUGCAAGGAUGUUAUUUUGUCAUUUCAAUCUCAUAUUUAUUUUAUUUAUUUUUUAAUACCAAUGAGACAUGUCUCAGCUCUUCCCUGGGACACAACAUGACCUCCCUGGACAUCCGGCCUGUGGAAGGACAAGGAGGUUCUGGAUCUACUGAGCUUUAAUGCAAAAGUUGGACUUGAAAAGGCUGAGAUGAUGACAGUUCUUACACCAGAUUUGGAUGCAUCUUCAGCAAGGAUGCAGCUCUGGGCUGCCAGGCACCAGACUGAGCCCUGACAGGACCAGCCUUCGCCUUGCUGAAGACUUGGGAAUGAGAUCAGGCAGCGCUGUCGGCGGAGGGGCUCGGGACAAACUGCAAAUGACCAAUGUGAUCUGCAAAAUGUCUGCUUUAUCUACAAAAAGAUACCCUCUAUAUACUUUUACUACACCCCAGCACAUGAUUUCUCUUCUAUUAUUGGUUACAUGAAAGUGUUCACAAUGUAAACAUGCCCUUUUGACCACUUCUAAUUGGAUUAUUGGAGGUGUCCACACGAGGUGAGGACAUAUGUUUAACUCUUGGGACUCCACCUCAAUUUUGGCACAGAUCCUUCUUUGUUUCAGCUUUAGAGCCUGAAGCCAUAAUGAUUGUGCAGCUUUUUUACUGUCUGUGCCUGGCCUUGUCAAGGCAAGGCCCACAAAAAAUGCAGAGGAAAUUUCUCACACAAUCCUGCUCUCCUGACACAGUACCUUGCACUUAUAGGGGUCUCUAUCAAUGCAGGAAACUUCUCUAUCUAUUAUGCUCUACAAAUAAACAUUGCUUAUUACAAA
Pseudopipra pipra is the source of this 2705-nucleotide long non-coding RNA. RefSeq lists it as uncharacterized. NCBI's taxonomy places the organism in Eukaryota, Metazoa, Chordata, Aves, Passeriformes, Pipridae. The record is from RefSeq and is a predicted model, not a curated record. The transcript is spliced from 3 exons.